This 389-nucleotide ribosomal RNA is filed under the name uncultured bacterium. Its description in RNAcentral is "bacterial SSU rRNA". It matches the Rfam family "Bacterial small subunit ribosomal RNA", at positions 30 to 416 of the family's 1533-position model. The record is from RNAcentral.
AUUGAACGCUGGCGGCAUGCCUUACACAUGCAAGUCGAACGGCAGCACGGGAGCUUGCUCCUGGUGGCGAGUGGCGAACGGGUGAGUAAUACAUCGGAACGUACCCUGAAGUGGGGGAUAACGUAGCGAAAGUUACGCUAAUACCGCAUAUUCUGUGAGCAGGAAAGAGGGGGAUCGCAAGACCUCUUGCUUUAGGAGCGGCCGAUGUCGGAUUAGCUAGUUGGUGAGGUAAAGGCUCACCAAGGCGACGAUCCGUAGCGGGUCUGAGAGGAUGAUCCGCCACACUGGGACUGAGACACGGCCCAGACUCCUACGGGAGGCAGCAGUGGGGAAUUUUGGACAAGUGGGCGCAAGCCUGAUCCAGCCAUGCCGCGUGAGUGAAGAAGGCC